This is a long non-coding RNA of Zeugodacus cucurbitae (melon fly), 1103 nucleotides long. RefSeq lists it as uncharacterized. The record is from RefSeq and is a predicted model, not a curated record. Lineage: Eukaryota; Metazoa; Arthropoda; Insecta; Diptera; Tephritidae. The transcript has 2 exons.
AGAAUGAAACUUUGCACAAAUAUUGUAAUGGUACCGUUCCUUUCUACUAAAAUAAUCGAAAUUUCAUCUUAACAUUUCAAGGCCCGAGAUACAAGCCUUUGUGAAAAUCUCCGCUAUGACUAAAUUAAUACCAUAUUUAUAUCAGCCAAUCUGUAAACGAUUUUUUCCUAACAAUAACAACAACCUGGAUGUAAAGCUAGGAAAAUCGGUUGAAUUAUUCUCUAGACCCCAUACAGGGGUUUUUUAAAUUUGUUUUUGACUAUAUACCUAACCUGUUCUUUGCCAUAAUGAUAUAUUACACUGAAUAUGAAGACCUUUGUGCAGCCCCAUAGCUCUCAUUUAACAUAAUAUAAUUUGUUUUGUGUCAAUGUUAUCCAAUAAAUAUUAUAUGGUUUACUUGGUCUCGCUCCAUAAAGAGCUAAUUUUAUUUCAGUUCAGCUGCUAAAAAUUAUACAAAAAAAAAGAAAACGAAGAAGACAAUAUAAUAAUAACUGCUUUGUCUCUCAAAAUAGCAGCUGUUGUUUAUAUAAUAAAUACAAAUAUAAUUAUUGCCAAUCAUUAUGUGUCCAUAAUAAGAGUUUUUCUUCACAUCCAUGACAGUUGGGACAAAAGCAUAUUCAUUCCAUAUUAAACGUUUCGGAAGGCAAGAGUUGAAAUAAAUUUUUCGAAUUUCUUGCUGAAAACUAUUCUUAGUUUACAUUUUAUAGCACACAAAUAUAUUUUUAUAAUUAUUGAAUUAUGGUGCCCCAGCAAUUGAUUGCGAUAUUUCUCGUAGUGGGACUUUUCAUUAGUAUUUCAAUAGACACGACACGAGCUCAAUCAUCUUUAAGCAAAAAUAAGGCAAUUGCGAGUACAUCUAGUUAUGGCGUUAGAGGGUUCUCUAUGAGUUGCCCAACAACUAAGUCAUCAAGGAGGAAAACUAGGAAACAGAGAAGGAAAUUACUUAGAAGAAGACUACUAAAGAAGUUUUUGCGUGCCACAAAAGUUAUUAUUACCAAGGCUUAAACAGUGAAUUAAAUUAAUGAGUUUAUAAAAAUAUAAAAGGACUGCUACUAGAAUAAAUACAUAAAAUAAAUAUGUAUGUAUAUAAAUAAAGUACAAAA